GACGAACGCUGGCGGCGUGCUUAACACAUGCAAGUCGAACGGAAAGGCCCUGCUUUUGUGGGGUGCUCGAGUGGCGAACGGGUGAGUAACACGUGAGUAACCUGCCCUUGACUUUGGGAUAACUUCAGGAAACUGGGGCUAAUACCGGAUAGGAGCUCCUGCUGCAUGGUGGGGGUUGGAAAGUUUCGGCGGUUGGGGAUGGACUCGCGGCUUAUCAGCUUGUUGGUGGGGUAGUGGCUUACCAAGGCUUUGACGGGUAGCCGGCCUGGGAGGGUGACCGGCCACAUUGGGACUGAGGUACGGCCCAGACUCCUACGGGAGGCAGAAGUGGGAAAUAUUGCACAAUGGGCGGAAGCCUGAUGCAGCAACGCCGCGUGCGGGAUGACGGCCUUCGGGUUGUAAACCGCUUUCGCCUGUGACGAAGCGUGAGUGACGGUAAUGAGUAAAGAAGCACCGGCUAACUACGUG
Molecule: ribosomal RNA, 468 nt
Filed under: uncultured bacterium
Lineage: Bacteria
Description: partial 16S ribosomal RNA
Rfam family: Bacterial small subunit ribosomal RNA
Source: RNAcentral